Molecule: non-coding RNA, 28 nt
Filed under: Homo sapiens (human)
Lineage: Eukaryota; Metazoa; Chordata; Mammalia; Primates; Hominidae
Source: RNAcentral
UGUGAAUGGUGGUUCUGUCAAGACUGGG